Hemiscyllium ocellatum (epaulette shark) is the source of this 630-nucleotide long non-coding RNA. RefSeq lists it as uncharacterized. The transcript has 3 exons. The record is from RefSeq and is a predicted model, not a curated record. Lineage: Eukaryota; Metazoa; Chordata; Chondrichthyes; Orectolobiformes; Hemiscylliidae.
UAUCCCGGGAGAGCUAGAGGAUGUGGUAUUCGGCAUAAAAGAAAUGAUGGAGUACAAUAAUAGGAAUGUUUUAAACGGCAUCUUGUGACAACAUUCUGAAUCGAACUGGAACUAUGUCCUCAAAACCACAAGCUAUUAACGAAACGUACCAGCAAUGUCAAAGUUUUGGGAUGUUUAACAUCCACUUGAGCAAAUGUGCAAGGCUCAGUCUGACAUCUCAUCUGAAGGGGAUGGCACAUCCACCAAUCACCGCUCCCUCAGCCUCGCACAGGGGCAUCAGCUGAAAUGACUGUAGCUGGACUUGAAGCAUAACCUUCUAGCUCAGAGGCAAUUUACCAUGGCCAAUUCACCUGACCUGCACAUCUUUCGAUUGUGGGAGAAAAUCAGAGCACCCGGAGGACACCCACACAGACACGGGGAGAACGUGCAAACUCCACACGGACAGUUGCCCGAGGCUGGAAUCAAACCUGGAUCCUGGUGCUGUGAGGCUGCAGUGCUAACCACUGAGCCACUGUACCACCCAUAGCUGUAGUCUUUGUUACAGCUUAUCUUGUUGGUAAAAUGGCAAAAUUGAUAUGGGAAGAAUGCAUAUAGAUCGCCAAUUCAAAAAAAUUUCAGGAGCAAUUUACU